Molecule: unclassified non-coding RNA, 163 nt
Filed under: plant metagenome
Description: partial contains small subunit ribosomal RNA and internal transcribed spacer 1
Rfam family: Eukaryotic small subunit ribosomal RNA (bases 1-46)
Source: RNAcentral
AAGUCGUAACAAGGUUUCCGUAGGUGAACCUGCGGAAGGAUCAAUAAGUGAUUGGCCAUCUUGGCUUAAACUUUCCAUCUACACCCUGUGAACCGUUUGAUUAAUCUCUGAUUCAUUUUACAAACAAUGUGUAAUGAACGUCAUUAGAUCAUAAUAAAAAAAA